Alligator sinensis (Chinese alligator) is the source of this 257-nucleotide long non-coding RNA. RefSeq lists it as uncharacterized. Lineage: Eukaryota; Metazoa; Chordata; Crocodylia; Alligatoridae. The transcript has 3 exons. The record is from RefSeq and is a predicted model, not a curated record.
ACAGUUUUUUUUCCAGACCCUCUAGGUGCUUCCUUGCUGUUCUCCUGGUUUGACUCAGUUCUAACUUCAGCUUCAGACUCUGAUAAGACUAGGCAUUCCAUGACUCAGCUUCUGAAUUCAGUUCUGACAGCAGACCACUCUGGAAUCCCUGGGAAACCAGCUCUGUGGGAAACCAGUCUUGGGUACAUCUGUACUUCAGUUUCACUUAAUGUCAGGAGAUUGUCGAAGUUUCAGAAUCAGCAUCCAUAUUCACCACC